CAUUUUUCAUGCUUCAGAAUUGAACGCUGGGGGCAGCUUUACCCCCAAAUUAAAGGCUGCCGAGAGAGCUUGCUCUUUGUGGGAAGGGGAGGGGAAGUAUUUCAGGGGAACUCCCGUGGAUGGGGAUAAUUACUGGAACGAUAGUUAUUCCAAUAUGUGUAGAAAGAGGGGGGCUUUUGGCCUUUCCUAUAUGAGCCUGAUGAGGUUAAUUAUAGGUGGAGUAAAAGUCACCCAAGGGAGAUUCCUAAGUGGUUUGAGGAGAUGGCCAACCCCACCGGAGAUGAGACCCGGUCCCAGAUUCUAGGGAAGCAGCCGUGGGGAAUUUUCACAAAUGGGCAAACCUGAUCCACAAUCCGGGGGUAUGAAGGAAGCCUUCGGGGUGUAAAGCAUUUCAUCAGGGAGAAGGUAGUAGAUUAAUAACCACAGCAAUAGACGUUACUCGCAGAAGAAGCACCGGUAAUUCGUGCCAGCAGCCGCGGUAAUUUGGAGGGUGCAAGCGUUAAUUGAAUUUUGGGCGUAAAGCGCACGCAGGCGGUCUGUCAAGUUGGAUGUGAAAUCCCCGGGCUCAACCUGGGAAAUGCAUCCGAAUUGGCAGACUUGAGUCUUGUAGAGGGGGGUAGAAUUCCAGGGGAGCGGUGAAAUGGGUAGAGAUUCGGAGGAAUCCCGGUGGGGAAGGCGGCCCCCUGGACAAAGACUGACGUCAGGUGCGAAAGCGUGGGGAGCAAACAGGAUUAGAUACCCUGGUAGUCACCCGUAAAAGAUGUCGACUGAGGUGUGACGGCGCUGUGGUUACGGUAGCUAACGUGUUAAGGACCCGCCUA
This 821-nucleotide ribosomal RNA is filed under the name Citrobacter freundii. Its description in RNAcentral is "bacterial SSU rRNA". It matches the Rfam family "Bacterial small subunit ribosomal RNA", at positions 1 to 875 of the family's 1533-position model. The record is from RNAcentral. Lineage: Bacteria; Pseudomonadati; Pseudomonadota; Gammaproteobacteria; Enterobacterales; Enterobacteriaceae.